Long non-coding RNA from Lates calcarifer (barramundi perch), 2017 nucleotides. RefSeq lists it as uncharacterized. The record is from RefSeq and is a predicted model, not a curated record. The transcript has 3 exons. NCBI's taxonomy places the organism in Eukaryota, Metazoa, Chordata, Actinopteri, Centropomidae.
UGUGAUUGGGUUUUAUGUGACUCCAGGAGCUGUGUCGUCAGGGGAAACAGCGCCUGGUAGGGUCGUCCAAGAAAAUUAGUUCCAGGUGAGUGGCCAGAGUAAAUGUGACCUCUAUGGGCCAGUGUCUACCGGCAUAGAAUGGGUUGGAUUCCAGAGAUGAAUGUCUCCUCCACAUGACAGCUGACAGGGAGGGAGAUGGCUCCUGCUCUGCCGUGGCCAAAGCAAACUGCAGCUCGGCUCCCCAGCAACUCCACAGUGGCCCAUAUAUCUGACAUGACUGUGUUUGGCUUACAUCUCCAGGUAAAAGGACUUGUCCCACUGUGGAGAACCAACAGGAGCAGCACUUAUGACCUGUGUGGAGAGCAGCCCUGAAGUAUAUAGUUCAACGCUUCCUUUCUCUGUGAAACACUCCCUGUGGGUAUUGUGGUCCACAACAGAGCGGUGUCAGAGUAUCACCUCGUGGUCCCACAAGCAUGACUGUAGCGCUUAUGGAUUCUAUGUUCUUGCAAUAGGAAGUAAAGGAUUUCUCCUCAUGGCUGUAUCUUAAGUCACACAACAAUAGUCUGCAGUUCUUUUUAUAUUUUCCGGGGAUGCUUAUUUACAUCAUGUAGCCAACAUCUGCUCACUAUCCUGUUGCAGAAUCACACAGUAGGAUCAGGUUUUGUCCGGCGCUGAUGGGCAUGUCUUUAUAUCAAGCUACGAUACCAAAGCUUUGUUUCUGUUGUGUGACACGACCCGCAACCUUAUUCUUAGACCUGCCUGCCACCUAAACUGAGGACACACUUAAUAACAGCUUGGUUGAAGCAGACUGACAUGAGGAACAGUGACAGUCAAGCAGUUUGAUGAUUUUUGGACAUAAAUUUAAUCUUAAAGCAGCACCUGGAGACUCGAAGGGUAACGAGUGUCAUUUUUCCUAAAACUAAAACAGGCUGCAGUCUGAGAGGGAAGUUUGAACUCUCAUGGUAUCGUCUUCUGUUUCAAGCUGAAGUAGAAAGAUGGAUCAGUUUUCCCAGUUGGAGCUGUGCCUGGCAGCCAUGGUGAACUAGUUUGUGUUCCUACAUACUGUACAUUGUUGCUACCUCAUAUUUCUGCCCCAGCCUUACAGAUGAGAGGCAUUACUGGUGUUUCACUUGUUGAUUGUGACGGAUUUCAUCACUGGAGUAGAAGUACAUUGUUAGGAGUUAAAGGAUAACUCCAGUAUUUUUAAACCUGGGCCUAAUUUUCCCAUGUUUUUGUGUGUAAAUGGUCAAUAGGGACAAAGAUCUUUGGAGUCAGAGCAGUACUGAGCAUGAACAGGGUGCCUAGCAACGACCAGCAGCUGCUGGGAAAUUUUCCGCGUCAACGUACGUCCACUUCAGUGCUUGUUUUAGCCACUGACAAGCUUAUUAUUUUUUAUAAACCUCAGCUGCUCUUGUUCACUUCAGGAAGGACUCACAGCCAGCCUACUCAUUACUGAUCCAAGUCGUCAAAAAUUCACAAAUUAUCUCUGCCUGCUUCUUUGUUGCUGCAGAGAUUCUGCAAUGUACAGGUGUUGAGUUGGUAAUAGGUGGGAUCCUUGUUAGUUUUUGUUUUAGUGCUCACAGGAGUGGUUUUAAAACAACUAAGUCAAUUUGUGGCAGGAUGUGAAAAUUGUUUUUCAGAUGUGAAAGAUUGCAACAAAGAAGAGUAGGAGGAAAAAUUGCACUUUUCAGAUGAACAAGACUGAUCUGACCGCACAGAAUCAGACUAUUCUUGGGCACUUUGAUGCUGGCUUGUAUUCAUACAUUUUAAUUCCUUAUGAUUUAUGUACAUUUGAUUAAAUGUUGGCUUUUCCUAUAGCUACACCAGGAUACACUCACUCCAAUCAUUCAUACUAAAUAUUGACUGUGAUCGGGCUGAAUGCUUGAAAUCAAUAAUCUUGUGUUUAUCAUCAGUACUUCAUUUUAAAGAAUCUGUAGAGAUUUUUUUCACUUCCCUUUAAAGAGUCCUUUUUGUUCAUCAUUGUAUAAAACACCUAAUCACAAGGACUGGGAUUCAA